GUGAACGCUGGCGGUAGGCCUAACACAUGCAAGUCGAACGGCAGCACAGUAAGAGCUUGCUCUUACGGGUGGCGAGUGGCGGACGGGUGAGGAAUACAUCGGAAUCUACUUUUUCGUGGGGGAUAACGUAGGGAAACUUACGCUAAUACCGCAUACGACCUACGGGUGAAAGCAGGGGAUCUUCGGACCUUGCGCGAUUGAAUGAGCCGAUGUCGGAUUAGCUAGUUGGCGGGGUAAAGGCCCACCAAGGCGACGAUCCGUAGCUGGUCUGAGUGGAUGAUCAGCCACACUGGAACUGAGACACGGUCCAGACUCCUACGGGAGGCAGCAGUGGGGAAUAUUGGACAAUGGGCGCAAGCCUGAUCCAGCCAUACCGCGUGGGUGAAGAAGGCCUUCGGGUUGUAAAGCCCUUUUGUUGGGAAAGAAAAGCAGCAGGUUAAUACCCCGCUGUUCUGACGGUACCCAAAGAAUAAGCACCGGCUAACUUCGUG
RNAcentral lists this ribosomal RNA (491 nucleotides) under uncultured bacterium. RNAcentral describes it as "partial 16S ribosomal RNA". It matches the Rfam family "Bacterial small subunit ribosomal RNA", at positions 29 to 507 of the family's 1533-position model. The record is from RNAcentral.